UGAGGUGCCACGUAAGAAGUCCAAUUAUCUGGAAGCUACUCUGGAGGUACUAUUUAUACUCACACUGCGCCCAGACUUUCAAGCCAAGGUGCCAGACAUGUUAAUGAUCUUGGACCCUCCAGCCCAUCCAUCUGCUACUGAGUGAUCAGUUUUAUGGCAGCUACACCUGAGAUUUUAGGAUCCAAGCCUGGGUUCGGGCAGCCCUAAGAGACUCAGCCACCUGUCCUUAGUGCACAGACUACAGUGGCACCUCAUGAUAAAGAGCACAGAGAAGAGGUUUACUUCAUGACUGCAUCAGAAAGAGCAACAAGCUAAGAGGUCUGGUGACCCCUAAACCCAUCUUUGUGGGACUGACAUGAAGUUUGCCUUUAAAUAAAAGGCAAGGAAGUA
Molecule: long non-coding RNA, 390 nt
Organism: Mastomys coucha (southern multimammate mouse)
Lineage: Eukaryota; Metazoa; Chordata; Mammalia; Rodentia; Muridae
Exons: 2
Source: RefSeq, a predicted model, not a curated record